GAAUUCGCCCUUAGAGUUUGAUCCUGGCUCAGGACGAACGCUGGCGGCGCGCCUAACACAUGCAAGUCGAACGAGCGAGAGAGAGCUUGCUUUCUCGAGCGAGUGGCGAACGGGUGAGUAACGCGUGAGGAACCUGCCUCAAAGAGGGGGACAACAGUUGGAAACGACUGCUAAUACCGCAUAAGCCCACGGGUCGGCAUCGACCAGAGGGAAAAGGAGCAAUCCGCUUUGAGAUGGCCUCGCGUCCGAUUAGCUAGUUGGUGAGGUAACGGCCCACCAAGGCGACGAUCGGUAGCCGGACUGAGAGGUUGAACGGCCACAUUGGGACUGAGACACGGCCCAGACUCCUACGGGAGGCAGCAGUGGGGAAUAUUGCACAAUGGGGGAAACCCUGAUGCAGCGACGCCGCGUGGAGGAAGAAGGUCUUCGGAUUGUAAACUCCUGUUGUUGAGGAAGAUAAUGACGGUACUCAACAAGGAAGUGACGGCUAACUACGUGCCAGCAGCCGCGGUAAAACGUAGGUCACAAGCGUUGUCCGGAAUUACUGGGUGUAAAGGGAGCGCAGGCGGGAAGACAAGUUGGAAGUGAAAUCUAUGGGCUCAACCCAUAAACUGCUUUCAAAACUGUUUUUCUUGAGUAGUGCAGAGGUAGGCGGAAUUCCCGGUGUAGCGGUGGAAUGCGUAGAUAUCGGGAGGAACACCAGUGGCGAAGGCGGCCUACUGGGCACCAACUGACGCUGAGGCUCGAAAGUGUGGGUAGCAAACAGGAUUAGAUACCCUGGUAGUCCACACCGUAAACGAUGAUUACUAGGUGUGGGAGGAUUGACCCCUUCAGUGCCGCAGUUAACACAAUAAGUAAUCCACCUGGGGAGUACGACCGCAAGGUUGAAACUCAAAGGAAUUGACGGGGGCCCGCACAAGCAGUGGAGUAUGUGGUUUAAUUCGACGCAACGCGAAGAACCUUACCAAGUCUUGACAUCCUGCGACGCACAUAGAAAUAUGUGUUUCCUUCGGGACGCAGAGACAGGUGGUGCAUGGUUGUCGUCAGCUCGUGUCGUGAGAUGUUGGGUUAAGUCCCGCAACGAGCGCAACCCUUACUGUCAGUUACUACGCAAGAGGACUCUGGCAGGACUGCCGUUGACAAAACGGAGGAAGGUGGGGAUGACGUCAAAUCAUCAUGCCCUUUAUGACUUGGGCUACACACGUACUACAAUGGCGUUAAACAAAGAGAAGCAAGACCGCGAGGUGGAGCAAAACUCAGAAACAACGUCCCAGUUCGGACUGCAGGCUGCAACUCGCCUGCACGAAGUCGGAAUUGCUAGUAAUCGUGGAUCAGCAUGCCACGGUGAAUACGUACCCGGGCCUUGCACACACCGCCCGUCA
This 1382-nucleotide ribosomal RNA is filed under the name uncultured bacterium. RNAcentral's name for it is "bacterial SSU rRNA". It matches the Rfam family "Bacterial small subunit ribosomal RNA". The record is from RNAcentral.